CGCUGGCGGCGUGCUUACACAUGCAAGUCGAGCGGAAAGGCCCUUCGGGGUACUCGAGCGGCGAACGGGUGAGUAACACGUGAGCAAUCUGCCCUUAGCUUCGGGAUAGCUCCGGGAAACCGGAAUUAAUACCGGAUAUGACCACGGCCGACAUCAGCUGUGGUGGAAAGAUUUAUCGGCUAAGGAUGAGCUCGCGGCCUAUCAGCUUGUUGGUGGGGUAACGGCCUACCAAGGCGACGACGGGUAGCCGGCCUGAGAGGGCGACCGGCCACACUGGGACUGAGACACGGCCCAGACUCCUACGGGAGGCAGCAGUGGGGAAUAUUGCGCAAUGGGCGAAAGCCUGACGCAGCGACGCCGCGUGCGGGAUGAAGGCCUUCGGGUUGUAAACCGCUUUCAGCAGGGACGAAGCGAAAGUGACGGUACCUGCAGAAGAAGCGCCGGCCAACUACGUGCCAGCAGCCGCGGUAACACGUAUGGCGCGAGCGUUGUCCGGAAUUAUUGGGCGUAAAGAGCUCGUANGUGGUCCGCUACGUCUGCUGUGAAA
RNAcentral lists this ribosomal RNA (547 nucleotides) under uncultured bacterium. RNAcentral's name for it is "bacterial SSU rRNA". It matches the Rfam family "Bacterial small subunit ribosomal RNA", at positions 34 to 599 of the family's 1533-position model. The record is from RNAcentral.